Physella acuta is the source of this 503-nucleotide long non-coding RNA. RefSeq lists it as uncharacterized. Lineage: Eukaryota; Metazoa; Mollusca; Gastropoda; Physidae. The record is from RefSeq and is a predicted model, not a curated record.
UAGAAAUCCCCCACGUUUUGAUUAACAUAAAUAUAAAGCGUGUCUGCACAGGAACAUCCCAACUAUAUAUCUUAAACGAUUUUCUUGAAAGCAGUUAAACUCUAGUCUGUAUUUUAACUUUGAAAUCUCAUUGAAAUGAAGACUGUAGUUCUCAUUCUUCUUGUAUGUCUCGCGAGUCUUGUAAGUGUAUCGGAAAGCUGUUGUCAUACGUGGAAUGGUGAUUGCAGUAGUGGGAGCGAUUGCUGCGCACACUAUAAUUGCGAAGUCGAUAACACUAGAGGCGGCAAAAAAUUAUGCAAGCCAGUACCUGGAUACAAAAAGAAGAAAUGAAUCAAAAGAAGACAUCCAGUAUAAAAUAAACAAAUUUCAAUAGACAUUUUUUUUUUGUUUUUCAAAAUUAUUUGAAUUUUUCAACGUGUUAAAAAUUGAUCACGGUUAUGCUUAAUGUGGCAAACACGGUCCAAAACAAACAAAAUAGAACUGAAAUAAAAAUGUUUAUUUUC